RNAcentral lists this long non-coding RNA (621 nucleotides) under Malus domestica (apple). Its description in RNAcentral is "long non-coding RNA (MDOM_LNC003567)". Lineage: Eukaryota; Viridiplantae; Streptophyta; Magnoliopsida; Rosales; Rosaceae. The record is from RNAcentral.
CAUCUUCUCCAAGAGAAAAGAAGAGAAAAAAAACAAGAGCCAGUAAGGCUCCCCACGCAUCAUUCUUUUUUUAGUAACAUUAAUAUUUGCAUUUGGUUGUCUUUACCAAGUAAUUCAGAGACAUGGGAUCGGAGAGCUCUCAGCCGUCUUCUCCUCCUCCUCCUCCUCCUCCUCCUCCUCAUCCUCCUCCUCCUCCUCCUCAACCACGUGGAGGUAAAGAACCAGCCAUAGACUAUCAGGUGGAUAUUAAUUCGACAUCGAUGCUCUACACAGUAAAAGGCUUCCCAUAGGCAAAUGGUGAAGUGGUUCAUACAUAGGACAUCUUAUAUAUCGCGGUCUGCUGUCAACUAAUAACAUCAAUAUUAUUAUUAUGUAUAACAAUUAAGCUCUUCCAUUAAAGUUCUAUAUAUGUACUUCCAGAAUCGAGAGCUUUGUUAUGUCUGUCCCCUAGCAGACCUGGUAUGUAUUUGUAAUUUUAGUGAAUUUUAAUUUUAUUGUGUGUAUAUAUAUAUUGAGCUCUUAAGAAGAUGAAAAAUCGAUAACUCACUAGAUUUACUGUAUUAUUGAAACAAGAAAUAACCGUCAACUUUAAAAUCUUGCAUGGAGAGAGAGUACCGGCUG